AGAGACGUCGAAGUGAGCCGCCAGGCGGACACGACCUGGUGACAAAAAUAUAAGAGACCUGUUAGAUUCAAAAGAAAAGAGGUUCGUUUUGGCUUGCGGAUGGUGAUUUCGUCGGAUAUGUACCUUUUGUCCGGGCGGGGUAUCAUGUACGGAGUAAUCCUCGUGAGAUGGCCCGGGCACGAGCUCGCGACAGCGCGGCACUACGACGCCGGGGCACAGCGUCCAGCGACCGUUGUCCGUCUCCGUGAAGAUUUCCAUGUACUGGCGAAGGAAAUCUACCAGGCCUUCUGCACCUACGGUUCAAAAUUAAAAUGCGAUUACAGAAUAAUGUGUCGAAUUCGACAAGAAACAAUAUUUAGUAUUAUUUACUAAUCAAAUAGACUAUUUAUCAACAUUAUUAGAAAUAAAUAAGAGUACUGACCAGGAUCAACUCCCGGGAACGCAGGCUCAUAUCGCCUGGAGUACUCUACGAACAGUUCUUCAGCGGUUGCCGGGGCAUGAUCGGACAUCAGCUGAGCUAGACGCCACACGGCUCUCCAAGCCGGGGACAGGUUGAGGCGCUGGUCACUCGCCAUCAGGACUCCAGCUGCUGCCAAGUGCCUCAAGUCCGGCUCGAAGCCCCGGACGCGUUUGUACGCAGCCGUGAAGUACUCCAGAGUGGAACCUCUAGCGAUGCUCCUGUCUGCACUUAGGACCGCACAAGCAGCCAGUAGUGACGCCGCCCAAACAGGCGAGCCUCCCGGAGCUACCACCAAGUUGUUCUCUACGCAGCCCCCAGCGGCAUAGACUAGACCUUCCAAUGUCUCAGCGUCUAACAUGUCGGGCUGAAAAUGGUUUUGAUGCAUGAAUAUUUUGUACACAUAUUUUGGGUAAUGUAGAAAGUGAUUAAGUCUAUUGUGGAAUAUGAAAUGAUGAUUACCUAUGAGCUUGCCAAACACUUAUUGGUCAACGCACACCGGGUAAGGUCAAGUACAUUACAUAUACUCCAAAGCCGUGAUAGUACAUUUCUUUCCAAGUCGUGGAAUCAAAUUAAAGCAAUGGAUUUUUUAACAUACACAAUUGUACAAAAAAAAAAGCUUUUGCUGACCUGAAUACCGGUUUGCGUUGGCCACUACCGAGCGAUCAAUGUAUUAUUAUAGGGAUCAGUCCCAGUUGCAUAACAUGAUACAUUAAUGGCCAAUAACUGAUAAAGUCUCUGACAGCCUGUCAGGAACUUAUCUGACAGAUAAACUAUAACUUUUGCUUUCACAGAUCAACAAUAUAUGCCAGAUAAAGGAUGCUAACCUUUAUCUGGCAGAUUACUUUAACUAUCAGAUAACUAACUGACACCAUCGGUAACAACUGAAACCGGCUUGUGUGUCGUACCAUUGGCGGGGCGCCGUAGUGAUGCGCGUAGUGCGCUGGCAGAUGGGCCAGCGCCACAGCAGGCAGAGCUCUCAGACGACGGGCGAUCACUGAGCGGGCGGGUCCUAGCGCCAGCCUCACACUGCGCUCAGCAGUCGCCUCAUUCACUCGCACGGCGGCAGUCAGAUCCAACAGCUCGGCUAGCUUGACGCAGCCGUAGUGAGCAACGCGUAGCUGUCGCCCGAAGUGCGCGUGGUACGCGGGCACGAAGCGAGAGAACUCCAUGCGGAGGUUCGGCGUGUGACCCAGUAGCUCCACCGCCUAAUGUUACCGAACUCGUUAUUGACGGACAUUUGUGCUUUUUUUGAAUGGCAUUACAGUAAACUUAUGUAUAAAAUAUGUUAUACCAAUAGCAUUUGAUCAUUUCAUCAAAUGUACUGUGCACACCAAGUUUUUUUUUUUUAUAUAUAGUUUAAAAAGCAAAAUUCACACCAAGUUUUUUUUUAUAUAUAGUUUAAAAGCAAAAUUAGACAAGACAAUUGGCUGUCUGAUAAACGAUCACAUUUGAAACGAUUAUAUGAAUAAAAUUAUCCAAUAUGUCAA
This 1947-nucleotide long non-coding RNA is filed under the name Helicoverpa zea (corn earworm). RNAcentral's name for it is "uncharacterized LOC124632996". The record is from RNAcentral. Lineage: Eukaryota; Metazoa; Arthropoda; Insecta; Lepidoptera; Noctuidae.